AUCCAGCUGAUAAGUCCUAAACAGGACGAAACGCGCGUCCUGGAU
This is a non-coding RNA of Schistosoma margrebowiei, 45 nucleotides long. NCBI's taxonomy places the organism in Eukaryota, Metazoa, Platyhelminthes, Trematoda, Strigeidida, Schistosomatidae. The record is from Rfam.